GCCACCUUAGCUCAGCUGGUAGAGCACUUCACUUGUAAUGAAGAUGUCGUCAGUUCGAUCCUGACAGGUGGCUCCA
RNAcentral lists this transfer RNA (76 nucleotides) under Candidatus Woesebacteria bacterium. RNAcentral's name for it is "tRNA-Thr". It matches the Rfam family "tRNA". Rfam says of the family: Transfer RNA (tRNA) molecules are approximately 80 nucleotides in length. The record is from RNAcentral. Lineage: Bacteria; Candidatus Woeseibacteriota.